RNA transcript from Scylla paramamosain (green mud crab), 3004 nucleotides. It is a transcript of the gene named ran-specific GTPase-activating protein-like, with no coding region annotated. The record is from RefSeq and is a predicted model, not a curated record. NCBI's taxonomy places the organism in Eukaryota, Metazoa, Arthropoda, Malacostraca, Decapoda, Portunidae. The transcript has 9 exons.
CCACCACCAGCACGGCAGUAAAAGCAGGAGUAGUGAAUGGUCACACGUAUGUGGUGACUUCUUGGACUAUCAGGCUGCCCUUGUAGUGUGUUGGACUAUCGGUCAACAAGGAGACCUGAAAGUUACGUGGUACAACUAUUUUGGUGAUAGUAGUGGCUGAGUUGCCGAUCCAAAGGCCUGGCUUAAGAGUGAUCCCGAGCUACCUGUACCAUCAAGAUCAAGAUCGAGCGUCCAUAUCAGAUGGUGAGUCUGCGUACAAAAUUGCAUCGGAGGGAUUGAUAGAGGCAGCCACAAUUAUCCAUCAUCAUCGGCGACACCAUGGCUCUUGAGAAGACCUCCUCUUCUCUCUUCCCAUCUCUUCCUCCUCCUAGCCCAACCAAGCCUAAUUCUCUCUCUCUCUCUCUCUCUCUCUCUCUCUCUCUCUCUCUCUCUCUCUCUCUCUCUCUCUCUCUCUCUCUCUCUCUCUCAGACAGACAGACCUCGAUGACAGCGUGGUGAGCGAGGAGGGGGAGUCAACCAGCAGAGUAGGGGAGCAUGACCCCUACUUUGAACCAGUGGUGACCUUGCUGGAGGUCUUCGUGGUUAGUGAUGAUGACCAGGAGGAGGAAAUGAUAAGACUGAGUUUCGAGGUCAGGUCAGGCAGUACAAGCUGUUUCAUUAUCACACCUCUGAGUCGCCCCCACAGUGGAAGGAACGGGGCAUGGAGGCCAUUAAGAUUCUGAGGAACAAGCAGAAGAAGGCUGUGGAGUUUGUUCAGCGGCAGAAUUAAUGCCAGUGGCUGAGUUCAGAUCCUCCAAGACACACACACACACAGCAGCCCCUCCACCUCCCCCUCAGCCCUCCACAGCCCCUGACACAGCUUCUAACACAGGCCCUUCACAGAACACCACAUACCUCACACAUACGAGUACAUAAGAACAUAAGAACAUAAGAAAUAAGGGAAGCUGCAAGAAGCGAUCAGGCUUACACGUGGCAGUCCCUGUAUGAAAUAUACCUACCUAUUUCCAUCUGUUAUCCCCAUCCAUAAACUUGUCUAAUCUUCUCUUAAAGCUCUCUAGUGUCCUAGCACUAACUACAUGAUUACUGAGUCCGUUCCACUCAUCUACCACUCUAUUUGGGAACAAAUUUUUUCCUAUCCUUCCUAAACCUAAAUUUUUCAAGCUUGUACCCGUUAUUUCUUGUUCUCCCCUGGUUGCUGAUCCUAAGAAUUUUGCCUACAUCCCCCUUGUUAUAACCCUUAUACCACUCAAAGACUUCUAUCAGGUCCCCUCUUAACCUACAUAUCUCCAAAGAAUGUAAAUUUAACAGCUUCAACCUCGCCUCAUAAGGAAUACUCCUCAUCCCCUGUAUCCUUUUAGUCAUUCUCCUCUGUACUGAUUCUAAUAGACCUAUAUCUUUCCUGUAAUGUGGGGACCAGAACUGCACAGCGUAGUCUAGAUGAGGUCUGACCAGCACCAAGUAUAACUUUAAUAUUACUUCCGGCCUUCUACUUUUAACACUCCUAAAAAUCACACACACCACAGGAGCCUCACAAACAGUCUCACAGCCUUCACAAGCAGCCCCACACUCCACCACAGACACACCAGACCCACAGCCCUUCACCUCACCCACUUCCCAGCCCCCCACAGCCCCCCAGCCACCACAAAUGAAGUCAAAGGAAGGGACUGUGGCUUCACCCAGCCAGCCAGGACAGCCUACAGAGAGGGGGUAGUCCCAGUCAAGUCACAAAAUAUAGGCUUGGUUCUUCCUACAGUUUGAAGUCAAUGAUUGGACAGGCCAGACAGCUUAGUGGCAGAGCUGCAGGUGGCCCUCGUCAGCUUCCUGGUGGCACAGGUGUAGGACGGCUGGGAGCAGUGGAGGUGCCUGAUGGGGCAGCUGUACCGGGCAGAGGGGCUGCUGCUGCUGCUGGGGAGAGCCACACUUGUAUGCUAAGCUUCUCUCAGUCCUUCUCUAACAGCCCCACAGUUACUGACCUUGACUCAAACACCAUCACGGCACUCUCUUCCCUGUUAAACUUGCCGGGAUCCAUUGUAAUGUAAGGGGUAUUGAAUGUGAGCGAUGAAACGAGAAGGUAGUGGCAAGGGGGAAAAAAGUACAGGGGAGCGCAGGAGAGACACCUCUCUCCACUGUGCCUGACAGUCUCUCAGUGAUUGAAAGACUGAGCAUAACAUCUUCAGGGCACGUGGUAACACGGAGAGGAAGUGGAAGAAACCUUGGGACGCUCCCAUAACUCAGGAGCAAGAAAUACACCUUACUGGAAACCUUGUGACUGACAGGUGGCGGUGACUGCAGGAACCAAUUCAGAUGUCUGUCUUGUGUUGGCGAACGUCCUGUCUGCAGUCAGGCCAGUAGUGCCAUGUCGCAGGGCGUGACAUCAGGUGAAGAGCCAAAUGGAGAGUGUCUGCAGCCAGUACUGGGUGUGCUGAUGCUGUACACAAGUGUCGAGCCAGGUGCCACAGCACAUGACUCCACCAGUGUAGUGUCUCUAGUCCAGGAUGCACUGCUGUGUACGACUUGUAUGUCUUUAUAAAUUUGUGACUAUUCUUAUUAUAUAUGUGAAAUAAAUAUAUAGUUAGCUAACAGUGUGGUAUAAUAGUGUAAAAAUAAAUAUUUGAUAAUUCAUGCAUGCCCCAAAGGUAAAAAAAAAAAAAAACAGGAUUGUGCCCUCUAAACUUUUAAGAUACCACUUGCACAUAGAAGCCCCGUCCCAGCGACUCCAGUGUCGGCUGGGAUGGGGCUUCUAUGUGCAAAUGGUAUCUUAAACUUAGUUUAGUAGCCAAUCCUGGCUUUUUUUUUUUUUUUUUUUUUUUUUUUUUUUUUUUUUUUUUUUUUUUUUUUUUUUUUUUUUUACCUUGAGGGCAUGACCUGUACUCCCAGAAAGACUAUUUGCCAAAGAUAUUAUUGACAUGGCAUAAAUAACUAUCAUUAUGUUCAAGAUGGUAUACUGAAUGUUUAUUGUUUUAAUGUGAAUGUUAAGUGAAUAAAUACACAACAAUAAUAUAAA